AUCCAGCUCAAGAGUCCGAAAUAGGACGAAACGCGCGUCAAACUGGAU
Schistosoma rodhaini is the source of this 48-nucleotide non-coding RNA. NCBI's taxonomy places the organism in Eukaryota, Metazoa, Platyhelminthes, Trematoda, Strigeidida, Schistosomatidae. The record is from Rfam.